Molecule: ribosomal RNA, 450 nt
Filed under: uncultured Glomeromycotina
Lineage: Eukaryota; Fungi; Glomeromycota
Description: SSU rRNA
Rfam family: Eukaryotic small subunit ribosomal RNA
Source: RNAcentral
AGCAGCCGCGGUAAUUCCAGCUCCAAUAGCGUAUAUUAAAGUUGUUGCAGUUAAAAAGCUCGUAGUUGAAUUUCGGGAUCAAUACGUCGGUCGUGCCUCUGGUAUGUACUGGUGUUAUUGAUUUCUCCCUUCUGAUGAAUCAUGAUGUCAUUAAUUUGGUGUUGUGUGGAGUCAGGACUGUUACUUUGAAAAAAUUAGAGUGUUUAAAGCAGGCUCACGCUUGAAUACAUUAGCAUGGAAUAAUGAAAUAGGACGUUCGAUCCUAUUUUGUUGGUUUCUAGGAUCAACGUAAUGAUUAAUAGGGAUAGUUGGGGGCAUUAGUAUUCAAUUGUCAGAGGUGAAAUUCUUGGAUUUAUUGAAGACUAACUACUGCGAAAGCAUUUGCCAAGGAUGUUUUACAUUAAUCAAGAACGAAAGUUAGGGGAUCGAAGACGAUCAGAUACCGUCGUA